GUGAGGAAUAUUGCGCAAUGGAGGCAACUCUGACGCAGCCAUGCCGCGUGCAGGAAGAAGGCGCUACGCGUUGUAAACUGCUUUUAACCGGGAAGAAACCCUAGGACGUGUCCUUGGUUGACGGUACCGGAGGAAUAAGCACCGGCUAACUUCGUGCCAGCAGCCGCGGUAAUACGAAGGGUGCAAGCGUUAUCCGGAUUCAUUGGGUUUAAAGGGUGCGUAGGCGGAGCGUUAAGUCAGUGGUGAAAUCCUGCAGCUUAACUGUAGACUUGCCAUUGAUACUGGCGCUCUUGAGUGCGCUUGAAGUGGGCGGAAUGUGCCGUGUAGCGGUGAAAUGCUUAGAUAUGGCACAGAACACCAAUUGCGAAGGCAGCUCACUAAGGCGAUACUGACGCUGAGGCACGAAAGCGUGGGGAUCGAACAGGAUUAGAAACCCGUGUAGUCC
RNAcentral lists this ribosomal RNA (445 nucleotides) under uncultured bacterium. RNAcentral's name for it is "partial 16S ribosomal RNA". It matches the Rfam family "Bacterial small subunit ribosomal RNA", at positions 354 to 796 of the family's 1533-position model. The record is from RNAcentral.